GUACCCUGGUUUCUCUUCAGAUCGCAUAAAUCUUUCGCCUUUUACUAAAGAUUUCCGUGGAGAGGAACAACUCUGAGUUUUAACCAAAUUUUUUGCAGGCCUUGUAUUUGACAAGGCU
Molecule: small nuclear RNA, 118 nt
Filed under: Rhinopithecus roxellana (golden snub-nosed monkey)
Lineage: Eukaryota; Metazoa; Chordata; Mammalia; Primates; Cercopithecidae
Description: U5 spliceosomal RNA (ENSRROG00000008575.1)
Rfam family: U5 spliceosomal RNA
About the family: U5 RNA is a component of both types of known spliceosome. The precise function of this molecule is unknown, though it is known that the 5' loop is required for splice site selection and p220 binding, and that both the 3' stem-loop and the Sm site are important for Sm protein binding and cap methylation.
Source: Rfam by way of RNAcentral